UACGGGGGGAGCAAGCGUUGUUCGGAUUUACUGGGCGUAAAGGGCGCGUAGGCGGCCACCGCAAGUCGGUUGUGAAAUCUCUGGGCUUAACCCAGAAAGGUCAACCGAUACUGCGGGGCUAGAGUGCAGAAGGGGCAACUGGAAUUCUCGGUGUAGCGGUGAAAUGCGUAGAUACCAGAAGGAACACCGGUGGCGAAAGCGGCUUUCUGGUCGAGUACUGACGCUGAGGCACGAAAGCGUGGGGAGCAAACGGG
This 254-nucleotide ribosomal RNA is filed under the name uncultured bacterium. Its description in RNAcentral is "partial 16S ribosomal RNA". It matches the Rfam family "Bacterial small subunit ribosomal RNA", at positions 524 to 776 of the family's 1533-position model. The record is from RNAcentral.